GGCCCUAUAGCUCAGGGGUUAGAGCAACUGGUCUUGUAAACCAGGGGUCGUGAGUUCAUAUCUCGCUGGGGCCU
This is a transfer RNA of Ovis aries (sheep), 74 nucleotides long. It matches the Rfam family "tRNA". Rfam says of the family: Transfer RNA (tRNA) molecules are approximately 80 nucleotides in length. Their secondary structure includes four short double-helical elements and three loops (D, anti-codon, and T loops). The record is from Rfam. NCBI's taxonomy places the organism in Eukaryota, Metazoa, Chordata, Mammalia, Artiodactyla, Bovidae.